This 173-nucleotide unclassified non-coding RNA is filed under the name uncultured fungus. RNAcentral's name for it is "sequence contains ITS1, 5.8S rRNA gene". Lineage: Eukaryota; Fungi. The record is from RNAcentral.
CAAAUCCAUCCACGUCUCAUUCUUGAGACCACGUUGAAAUGUUCCCUAGUGUGCGGCGCCGUCUCCUCGACUCUGGUCUUGGGGCGCGCGCACGCACUAGGCUUGUAAACUAGUACCAUCUGUUGCUCAAAAGUAUUUUCUUGAUGUCAUCACGCAUCAAGGCAAACAAAGUA